UACGUAGGGGGCAAGCGUUGUCCGGAUUUAUUGGGCGUAAAGAGCGUGUAGGCGGUUUGGUAGGUCCGCUGUGAAAACUCGAGGCUCAACCUCGAGACGCCGGUGGAAACCAUCAGACUAGAGUCCGGAAGAGGAGAGUGGAAUUCCUGGUGUAGCGGUGAAAUGCGCAGAUAUCAGGAAGAACACCAGUGGCGAAGGCGGCUCACUGGCACGAUACUGACGCUGAGGCACGAAAGCGUGGGGAGCAAACAGG
This 253-nucleotide ribosomal RNA is filed under the name uncultured bacterium. Its description in RNAcentral is "partial 16S ribosomal RNA". It matches the Rfam family "Bacterial small subunit ribosomal RNA", at positions 524 to 776 of the family's 1533-position model. The record is from RNAcentral.